UAAACCUCACCCCUAGUGUUUUAUUACAAUAGGUUGGUGCUUUGGGUGUUGCCGUUUACUCUGGCUCGCCUUAAAUGACUAAGUGGAAUGCGUCAUAAGUUCUCGCAACCCUCCACUCUAACACACUUUAUA
RNAcentral lists this unclassified non-coding RNA (132 nucleotides) under Dioszegia hungarica. RNAcentral describes it as "partial internal transcribed spacer 2". Lineage: Eukaryota; Fungi; Basidiomycota; Tremellomycetes; Tremellales; Bulleribasidiaceae. RNAcentral also lists the same sequence under 1 other name. The record is from RNAcentral.